RNAcentral lists this ribosomal RNA (958 nucleotides) under Micarea viridileprosa. RNAcentral describes it as "SSU rRNA". It matches the Rfam family "Bacterial small subunit ribosomal RNA", at positions 375 to 1300 of the family's 1533-position model. The record is from RNAcentral. Lineage: Eukaryota; Fungi; Ascomycota; Lecanoromycetes; Lecanorales; Micareaceae.
CCUAACGGCUGAACCAGCAACUUGGAAGAAUGUAUAGCUAUUGCUAAUUGUUUCUCUUUUAAAUGAAACAAUAUCGAUUUGAUCGAAUAAAAUUCUGGGUAAAAUUAUGAUAAUGACAUUGUUUACCCAUGAGUCUUGACCAAGUUACGUGCCAGCAGUCGCGGUAAUACGUAGAAGACAAGUGUUAUUCAUCUUUAAUGGGUUUAAAGGGUACCUAGACGGUAUAUUAAGCCUAUAAAGGAACUGAUAUACUAGAGUUACUUAUGAGGAAGCUUUAAAGUACUAGAGGAGUAGAGAUGAAAUUCAAUAAUACCUUUUUUUGGAAAAAAAACUUCGGCACAGGUAUAGGUGAAAACAUCUUCUUAUGAGAUAACUGACGUUGAGGGACGAAGGCUUUUAAUCGUGAACAGGAUUAGAGACCCUGGUAAUGAAAGCAGAGAACGCUGAGUGUCAUAGAUUAGAUAAAAAUUUAUUCUAUAAAUGAAAGUGUAAGCACUCCACCUCAAGAGUAAUUUGGCAACAUUGGAACUGAAAUCAUUAGACCGUAUUUGAAACCAGUAGUGAUGUAUGUUGUUUAAUUUGAUAAUCCGCAAAGAACCUUACCACAACUUGAAUGUCUAUAUAUAUUAUUUUUAUAAUAUGUUUGUGUGUAGCUCUCUGUAUAACUUAGACUACAUGUUAUGAAAUAUUACGAAAACGAAAUUACAGAUACAAGUGUUGCACGGCUGUCUACAGUUAAUGUCGUCAGACUAUGGUUAGUUCCACUAAAUUAACGUAAACCCUUGCUCUAUUUUAAAAUAGAGUAGUUCUCCACUAUAUUGGAUAAGAUAACAGGGAACAAGACAAGUCAUCAUGGCCUUAAUGUUGUGGGCUAUAGACGUGCCGCGUGAGCCUUUACAAAAGGAUGUGAAAUUGAGAAAUUGAGCUAAUCCCACAAAACUGGCUAGAUCUUUUAUAU